AGAUUGAACGCUAGCGGGAUGCUUUACACAUGCAAGUCGAACGGCAGCGCGGACUUCGGUCUGGCGGCGAGUGGCGAACGGGUGAGUAAUAUAUCGGAACGUGCCCAGUAGCGGGGGAUAACUACGCGAAAGCGUGGCUAAUACCGCAUACGCCCGUACGGGGGAAGGGGGGAUCGCAAGACCUCUCACUAUGGAGCGGCGAUAUCAGAUUAGCUAGUUGGUAGAGGUAAAGGCUCACCAAGGCGACGUAUCUG
Molecule: ribosomal RNA, 254 nt
Filed under: uncultured soil bacterium
Lineage: Bacteria
Description: partial 16S ribosomal RNA
Rfam family: Bacterial small subunit ribosomal RNA
Source: RNAcentral